This 262-nucleotide ribosomal RNA is filed under the name Microbacterium sp. ISO326_OTU3076. RNAcentral's name for it is "partial 16S ribosomal RNA". It matches the Rfam family "Bacterial small subunit ribosomal RNA", at positions 29 to 289 of the family's 1533-position model. The record is from RNAcentral. Lineage: Bacteria; Bacillati; Actinomycetota; Actinomycetes; Micrococcales; Microbacteriaceae. RNAcentral also lists the same sequence under 1 other name.
AUGAACGCUGGCGGCGUGCUUAACACAUGCAAGUCGAACGGUGAACACGGAGCUUGCUCUGUGGGAUCAGUGGCGAACGGGUGAGUAACACGUGAGCAACCUGCCCCUGACUCUGGGAUAAGCGCUGGAAACGGCGUCUAAUACUGGAUAUGUGACGUGACCGCAUGGUCUGCGUCUGGAAAGAAUUUCGGUUGGGGAUGGGCUCGCGGCCUAUCAGCUUGUUGGUGAGGUAAUGGCUCACCAAGGCGUCGACGGGUAGCCG